Piliocolobus tephrosceles (Ugandan red Colobus) is the source of this 2565-nucleotide long non-coding RNA. Lineage: Eukaryota; Metazoa; Chordata; Mammalia; Primates; Cercopithecidae. The record is from Ensembl.
UAUAAUUUAUUUUAAUAAAGAUGAAAUUAAUAUAUUAUGUGAUUUACAUAUUUUCGUUAAUUAUCCAUUUAAUGGUGUUAUGCCAUAAAAAAAAAACGAAAAGUGUAUUAAACCGUGAUUUAUAUAAUGAAGAUGUUGAUGUAUCAGAAAGCAAAUAUUUAAUAAAAUAUUUAGGUAUGUCGUAUGAUAUCAUUAAAGGAAACCCACUCGGAGAUCCGAAGUUCAUGGUAGAUCUGGGAUAUAAAAAGUAUAUUUUAUUAAAUGAAUUAAAGUUAAUUAGUGAUAAGAAGAAAGAUAAUAAUGAAAAAGUCAAUAACAUUGAUAAUAUAAGUAGUAGUAAUAAUACUAAUAAAAGUAAUAUAUCUUAUGUUACUGUCCAAGAAGGAAAAUUACGAUGUUCGACUAAAGCGGGAGAAAUAAUAGUUAACGAUAUGAGUGAUAUUGAUAAACAAUACAAAAGUUAUAAAUUUUCAUCUAAAUACAAUAUACACCCUUUUAAUGCUUCAAAUUAUUAUAAAAUGUUAGCUGACAGAAUUAACAGAGGUGAUUCGACAAUUAUAUAUGAAAAACAGUGUGUGAAAUAUUUCGCUUCUCUUGAAGAAUUCGGUGCUAAUAAUUUGAACUUAUUUUUUUUAAAUAUGCUUAACGAAUUGGGGAAAAAUUAUCAAAAUAUACAUAAUGAUACAUAUGUAUGUGAUUUAGAGUUAUUUAAAAAAAAUAAACAUGAUGAGAAUUGCUUAAACACUAUAACUCCAUGGAUUACUUUUUUUAGUUUUUAUGGAACACAUUUAGUAUCAGGUGCAUAUUUUGGUGGUAAGAUUAUUCAAAAUAUGUUCGUUGAAAGUGAUGAUAUAAAAGAUGGUACAUAUAAAAAGAAAUUCAACGAAAAAAGAUUAAAUCCCUUUUUUAAUAAUAACAACGUUUAUAAUACGUUGUACUUUGGUUCAAUGAUAUCAAAGAAAAAAAUAAGAUAUAUAGUAGAAAGGAAUUAUAUAUUAGAUGGUGGUGAUAAUACUAUAAAAUCUACAAACACUAAUGAUUUAAACAGUUCGUUUUCCAAAUGGAAAGAAUCAAUAAAAGGUGAAUUAGCUAAACCUGUACAUUUAACUUUAAUACCUUUUGCUAAUUUUAUUGAAUCAGAAGAAGGUAAAAUUAGUUACUACAAAGCUUUAGAAUUUUAUUCUAAUUUAAAUUAUUCUAAUUAUAAUUUAUAUCCCUACAAAACAAAUCACAAUGAAAAAGAUUUCUAUAAAAAGCAAAUAAAAAAAUGGAGCCAAGUGAUAAAUAAAAAUGUUAAUUUCAAUAUAUCACUUACAUGUUCAGUAGGGGAGAGCAUUAUUAGCGGUUUUAUUAUUACAAAUAAAAAAAAAUUAAAUAAUGAUAAUAACUUAAUGCAUUUAUGUACUUAUAAUGAUUGUGCUAGUAGAAUAAAUUUAAUGGCAGAUAAAAAUUUUGAAUUCGGGUGGAUAUUAUGUAGUCAAGAUAAUGUAAACGACUAUUUUCAAAUUAAUAAAACAGUAACUGGAAAUGAAAAUAUUACAUGCCCUGCAGGAAUGGAAGUAGGGUAUGGUUUUUAUAUCACAAUGCAAGAAGGUAUUAAUACAAAUAUGUUAGCUAAAACAUGUGAAAGCAACAAACAAAAUUGCCAUCUUAAAGUUUCAAAUAAGAAUUUAAAAAGUUUGGUUUGGAUUAAUUGUAUCUCAAAUAAAAAAAAAGUAUUAUUGUCAUCUUUAGAUUCUAAAAUACAUAGUGAGAACCUUCAUCUAAAAAAAAAUACACAAGUUAGCUUAAGUUGUAAAAAAGGAAGUUUUAUUAUAGCUGGUUUUGCAGUUGAUUAUAUACCAUCUACCCAAAAUGAUUAUAUCGUUUGUCCUGUAGGAAGUUCUACUUGUAGUUUUGACAUUCAUGUUUUUGAAAGCGGUACUCCAGAGUUCCACAAUCCUAUCAUUUUCAUAAUAUGUUCAUCUUUAUAAAAAAAAAANNNNNNNNNNNNNNNNNNNNNNNNNNNNNNNNNNNNNNNNNNNNNNNNNNNNNNNNNNNNNNNNNNNNNNNNNNNNNNNNNNNNNNNNNNNNNNNNNNNNUAUAUAUAUAUAUAUAUAUAUUUAGCAGUUGUACAUUUUUCGACAAUUUAUGAUUCUAUCAUUCAAUUAUUUUUGCAUUGGUAUAUUUUAGCCAGUUUUGUUUUACCUCACGUGUUUUAUUUAAUUUGUUUUACCUCACGUGUUUUAUUUAAUUUGUUUUACCUCACAUGUUUUAUUUAAUUUGUUUUACCUCACAUGUUUUAUUUAAUUUGUUUUACCUAAUGGUGUUUUAUUUAAUUUGUUCCUUGAUGUUGUUUAAUUCAUUUGUUAGUGACAUUCUUUGUUGACAUUUUUUUUUUUUUUUGUAACGUUUUUUUAUUUUCCCACUUACCCCUCCUCUUAUAGAGGUGCUAGCUAUAAUAUCACGACGAUAUAAAACUAAGUACUAUUUUAGAACAUUUUUUUUAAUUUUCGCAUCUUUUGUUUUUAUAUACAAUUUAUAUGUUCAAAUAAAAAAAAAUAACAAGUGCUAAAAUGUUAUAUA